RNAcentral lists this ribosomal RNA (547 nucleotides) under Brachypeza bisignata. RNAcentral's name for it is "partial 12S ribosomal RNA". The record is from RNAcentral. Lineage: Eukaryota; Metazoa; Arthropoda; Insecta; Diptera; Mycetophilidae.
AAUAAAUACAAAUAAAAUUUAUUAUUUAAAGUUAAAAUGUUGUUAUUAAUUUAUAAUUAAAUUUAUUAGGUUAAAUUUUAAAUUUAAAAAAUAAUUAAUAUAAAGAUUAUUUUAAGCUUAAAAAUUUUUGUAGUAAACUAGGAUUAGAUACCCUAUUAUAAAAAAUGUAAAUAUAAAAAAUAGAGUAGUAGUAGUUAUUUUCUUAAAACUUAAUAAAUUUGGCGGUAUUUUAAUCUAUUCAGAGGAACUUGUUUUAUAAUUGAUAAUCCUCGUUAUAUCUUACUUAAUUUAUUUAAUUUGUAUACCAUCGUCAUAAGAAUCUCUUAAAAAAGUAAAAAUUUUCUAAAAAAUUUAUUAAUUAAUAUGUCAGAUCAAGGUGCAGUUUAUAAUUAAGAAAAAAUGAGUUACAAUAAAUAUAUUUAUACGGAUAUUAAUUUUAAAUAAUUAAUUGAAGGUGGAUUUGAUAGUAAAAUAAAUUAGUGAUUUUAUUUGAUUUUAGUUCUAAAAUAUGCACAUAUCGCCCGUCGCUCUCGUUAAUUAAAAUGAG